UUGCUGCCUGAUGGUGGAUGAAGCAGUGGAAAAGAGAAUUGUAUCGUUGUGCUUGACACUAGGGGUUUAGUUGGAAUUGUUGCUUCGUAGCUGUGCUCGGCCCACUUUUAAUGUUAAGGGACACAGCAUUCUCAGAGUCGUCAAACUAGCAAGGGUUUAGAGACCAUCUGAUUUAAUCCCCUCUUUUCCAGAUGCACAGGGAGGCGCAGUGAUUUGCCUAGGUCACAUAGUGCAUUUAUGGCAGACCUAAGAAUUGGAUUUCUUGAUUCUCAAGCCAGACACUGUCCAUUACACUAUGUCGACUGUGUCUAAGGAAUUACUAUGCUUGCUUUGGGGACAGUAAGGAGGAUGAGUUAGACAGAGUGGGGAUGUCAGUGUAUGGAGUCUUAGGUUUCUGUUUUCCUGACUUUUCGCUUUUCUGAUGACCCUCUUGGUGCCUGGAAAGAAUGAUAAGGUCAUGGAUGGUGGGGUGGAGAAUGUCAUGUGAAUUGGCUGCCCUCUGCUUUCUACCAUUCUGAGCCAACAAUAAACUUCAGGAGCUGUGGACCAGAGAUGUGGCCAUCAGAGAGGGGAGGGCUGAGCUAGAUUGUUUGUAUGAAAGAGGCAAGAUUUUCUAUCUCCUAUGGCUAUAUUUUAUGUCACAGGCUCUCAGAGUUUAGAACCUCAUGUGCCCUCUCUCUUUGGCUUUUUUUCCUACUGCUCAGGGCCCAGCUGUGCUGCUGUGUUAACCUGGAGGCAUUAUGGAACAGUCUAAUAUGGUCUCGCCACUGCAGAGCUGGGGGCUGGAGAGGUGAUGAAUGAGGCCUCUGCUCCUGCGUCACCUGCUGCACUCUACACCGUCCCCUGCAGACCUGUGUUCCCUUCUCCUGUUUGCCUGCUGGCCCUGGGGACCCCAGCCCUGCCUGCCCACAGUUCCUCAGACUGGGCAGGUGGCACUGGAGCUGGGGGCCUGGAGUGGGGGUUAGGUGAGAGGGAGGGACUGACCUUGAGGUAGGGGCAGGAAUCGACCCCAGCCUCUGGGGUAGGAUGGAAGGAAUGGUCUUCUUGGCAUCACCCCUCACCAGUCUGAUAAAUAAUCAAUCUGCUGUACCUCACCCUGCUUAUGCCACCUCCCAGGAGUGUGGCCAGGGCAGAGUCCUAGGUAGGGCUGGAGCUGGGGACUGGGCUUCGUUCUCUCCCUGGAGGCGUUUCUGUCCAUCAGCUCCUUCUGUCCAUCUGCUAGCCCCAGGCCCCUUCUCCUACCUGCUAUGUUAGGAGGCAGAGAAUGAGGAGCUACCCACUGGCCCCAAGGUGGGGGUGUGGAGCAAGUGGGCAGAAGUAUGUGGCCCUGAGCUGGGUGCGUGACUCACAGCCCUCUCCCUGUGCCAGCCACUUCUACCACCACCAUAUCAGCAGCAGAGACCAUAUUUCUCUGAAUGGAAAAUCUUGGAGGUGUCAGCUGGGACAAGGAAGGAUGUGGAGGCAGGAGCUGCAUUCUCCCUAGAGCCAGUACCAGGGUCAGCUCUGCCCAGUGCAGUGGUGAAGUUGGGGGACAGGGGUUGAUCUAGGGAGGAAUAGCAUCCCCUCCAUCCUUUGCCCUACUGCCUCGCUCCACAUACCCAACAAAGACAGUCCUUCCUAGCCAUGGAGCCCAGCAAGACAGGGCCAUGAGGUGCCAGGGCCGGAGAGUAGGUUCCUUCCUGGGCCCCAGGCCAGCAUCUUUGGACUACUGCCCCCUCCCAGCCUCUACCCUGAGGUUCAAAAGGCCACACCACUGAGGCUGUUCCAGCACACGUGUCCACUUUUGAGCUGAAUCACCGGCCUGGCAGCCCCAAGCCUCUGUGGCCUUUGGGUUAGAUGAAGGGGCUUGUUUUGUGCACCAGGACCAAAGUUACCUCCCUGACUUUGUGACCUUUGCCCUGUGGUUACUUUUGUCUGCUGCAUCUGGGAGGAGAUGAAGUUGGAGAGCUUGACUGUAGAUGGAGGGGCCCUAAGCCCAGACCCCUGGGCUACCCUGAUGCUGAGGAGGCCCUGAGUACCUGCGGUGGGGUGAGGCCAGAGUGAGCUCCAGCUCAGAUGAUCAGGGAGAAGGCUGCACCAGUCUCAUUGGAUUCUUCACACCAGCUGGUGCUGAAGGUUCAGGGGUUGAAGUUGAAAGAAGCCCGUGGGGUCCUCCAUAAAGGACUCAAGGUGCUGGCCUUCCAACAGCCUGGUAAGAGUGGCUUUCUCCUCUAGAUUUGCAUAAUGCUUUGCAUCUCAUUUGAAUACUAUUAAUUUGGUGUCAGGCUAGGUUGGCAUGGUGUAGGAAAGAGAACAGCUGGCCUUCUCCAUCCCCUCUGUACCACAGAGCUUAUUCUAAGCAUAGCCUUCUGCAACUGGGGGGCAUGAGGCCUCCACUUUCACCAUCCCCUUCAUGUUCCCUGACACUUAGUCUCUUAGUGAAGCCAGCUCCUAAAAGCCAAGGCUGCCUGGCAUUGUGGCCACCUGCAGGGUUAUGCUGAAGGAAGAAGAAAGGGUCCCCCAAGGUCACUCUCACCAGACCCAGAGACACCAUGGGAGGAUGCUGGGGGCCUUUGUCAUCCCAAGCAAUCAAGGCAGCUUGGCUUGGAAAGGGUCCAAAGAUAAUAACCAAGAGAGGGAGGGAACAAAGACAGGCGAUAAUCCCAGAGAAAUAUAGAGGGCUCUAGAAAUAAAAUCCUCUGAACUCAAUAUUUCUAGUGCUUGAACUUACAUAAAAUACAUCUGUCCAGAGGCAUUGGGUUUAUGGUGCUGCUCUGGGGCUGGGAACCUGGUACCAGGUUGAUGGCCAUGUGAUGAGAGAGUGAGUCACCAGGUGGGGUGAGUUCCUGAGAAAGAGGGAAGAGGCCCCGGGUGCAUCCUGUGGGCUGCCCCUGGCAGGUGGGCAUCGGGAGGCUACAGGGAGAUGCGGAUGAGUUAUUUAAUUGAAGAGGAAGAGAAGUGCAUUCCAUGCAGAGGGAACAGCAUGUACAUCGGUAGGCAGGACUAAGAGAUGGUUAGUGUAGCUGGAUGGCAGCAAACAAGAGUUGUGGUGUGGGAUGUAGCUGGAGAGCUGGGGUGUAGCAAAGCUUAGUGGCUGGUAUGAAAUCUCUAGGAGUCCUACCUGCCCAUCCAUCUGUCCAUUUAUUCGUUCGUCCUUCACCCUACUACCUCCCAAUUCAUUCAUCACCCACUCAUUCAUUUACUGAAUGAGUGAGCACUUAUUGAGCACUGUGUGUAUGCCAGGACCUGAACUAGCUACUGGAGAGGGAGAGCCCUCAAGGAGCACCCAGACUGGGGAGGGGAAACAGCCCCAACACCCUGUAAGACAGCAUGUUUAUCUCCACAAGGUACUUAAACAAGGCUCUGGAAGCCCUAGAGGCCAAGUCUCCCAUGCUUCAAGCUUCCCAAGGCAAGGGUCCUUCAUUACCUCCGGGGAGAUCUUCCAUUCACACAGAUCCUCCUGGCAUCUAAUACUAUUCCUUCCUGCUACAAAAGCAGCCCGCUUCUUAUAGCCCCAGAGUGGCAGGGAGUGUUUCUGAUGUUCCUUCUCAUUGACCCUUUAUUUGGGCCUUAGAGACAUCACAGUCUCAGGAGAACCCAGGGGAAGUGAUAUGAGAACAUGGUCAAGUCUCCCUUAGACAUCAGAACCCAGGCUUAGAUACACUUCUAGCCACUUCCUUUUCUGGGCAUGAAAAUAGGACAGAAAUUCCCAAUGUCCCUUAAUUCAGCAUAUUCCCUCCCCCACUCCUCCUUGAACUACUUGUCCUCUAUUUGUGACAUCACAAUGGUCUCUAUGGCAACUGAUUGUGAGGUCACCAGUCCUUAAAGCAACAGAAUAUGUGGGUCCAGACAAUGGCCUGCAAGAGAAAGGAAGAAUACAAAAUGGAAGCCUGGGAUAGAGAUCAUCUCCUAGGAAAGGGGGAGGCCACCCAAGGCCUGUCAGGGGGAGGGCUCCACUUCUCAGCCCAUCUGCAGUAGGUCCACAUUCGGGGUAGGCAAGAGCAAGGCCUGCUGGAAAGGGAAACUGCUCAUCAAGAAACUGAGGGAGGCUGGGCACGGUGGUUCAUGCCUGUAAUCCCAGCACUCUGGAAGUCCAAGGCUGGCCAUGGGGGUCUCCACCAGCAGCUGAGGUGGAGAGAGAGGAGAGCUUUGUAGGAACAGAGAAAGGAAUGUCACAAGGAAGGCAGCUGACCAGGCUUCCAGACAGACAGGGGAAUCUUUUCAUCAUGGUCUCCUUCACUGCUUUCCAAAUCUCAUUUAACCUCCAUGUUUCUUGCUGCAAUUUCAGUUGGUGUCUUUAGGGGCAGGGGAGUCAAUUGGUCACUGUUGGCUUCUUGCAGACUUGAACCCCAAGUCUGACCACAUUUUUGCAAGACCCAUCGGGAGAAGGAUCCUCCCCUUUCUGAAAGAACAAUAUUCUGGAGGGGCUCUUCUUGACUGAUGUUUAGUAGGCUCUUCUGCUGGAUAAUUAUGCCUCAAACAACCCCAAGCAGCUACCGCAUGAGGUCUUCACAUCCAUCUGCCUGCCUCCAGGAGCACUUUCUAAGCUAUCUCCCAGAGAUAGGGCUCACCCUUAUUCCUGAGAGCCUCCGGUGAGGAGGGUGCCCUAGCUCCCAUAGUAACCCCAGAAUUAGUCUCCUUAAAGGCUGGGGAUCAUGGCUUGUUCAAUAGUUUUUCUUCAGGUUCGGGCAUAUAGAAGGGGCUCAAUAAAUAGUCACAGAAUCAAUAACUAUUACAAAAGCCCCAUUGAUGGAAUGCUCGCUCCGUACCAAGGCUGAGAAGGGUGAUCUGUCACCCAAAGUAGGACCCCUUUGUUGCUCCCUGAACCAACAACCCAGAAGAGCCUGCCAGUUUUGUAGUUUUGUUUUUCCUUUUCUUGCUAUUUGGCCAGGAGCAGCAGUAGCAGCAGCUCCAAGAACAGCACUGGCUCCUUCUUAGUCCCAUGGAAGCACAGAUCAACAUCAUUGCCCUUGCAAACUUCUCUCAGCUUAGGAGAGUCUACUCGCUCUUUGCACAUUGUUGACAUGAAAUGAAUAUUAAACACCAAACCUCAUAGAGGCCAGCCCUGCUGGGCGAGCAAUGAA
RNAcentral lists this long non-coding RNA (5063 nucleotides) under Homo sapiens (human). Its description in RNAcentral is "HSALNT0389230". The record is from RNAcentral. Lineage: Eukaryota; Metazoa; Chordata; Mammalia; Primates; Hominidae.